Molecule: transfer RNA, 74 nt
Filed under: Anaerolineales bacterium
Lineage: Bacteria; Bacillati; Chloroflexota; Anaerolineae; Anaerolineales
Description: tRNA-Val
Rfam family: tRNA
About the family: Transfer RNA (tRNA) molecules are approximately 80 nucleotides in length.
Source: RNAcentral
GGGCGCGUAGCUCAGUUGGUUAGAGCGCUUCAUUCACAUUGAAGAGGUCGUGGGUUCGAGUCCCUCCGCGCCCA